Long non-coding RNA from Equus quagga, 386 nucleotides. RefSeq lists it as uncharacterized. NCBI's taxonomy places the organism in Eukaryota, Metazoa, Chordata, Mammalia, Perissodactyla, Equidae. The transcript has 3 exons. The record is from RefSeq and is a predicted model, not a curated record.
CGGCGCCGACGGUCCCUGAAUGUCGCAUCCUGCCUCCGAGGCGCUCGCUCCGGGUCUCCGCAGUUAGCCUGGGACGGAGUCGGGCGCCGUGCGCGGCGGCGGCGGCAGCGCCGAGGCGGGGACGCCGGCGGACGCAAAGAUCCACUAGUGGCAUUCAGGCAGGUUCAGCAGCGCUGGUCUCUCGGCUGCUGAAACAAGGAUCACAAACCUGCAGGAAGUGGAGUUAAGGCUGGGACCUUUCCUGUCCAUGGAGGAAAGAAACUGUGCAUCCUUCCUUCCCAUCCAGCAAGUGCAGGGCACAGGGCUCCUCACCAUCUACAGAACCGGAAGGUUAGCUCUGAGCUAACAUCUGCCACCAAUCCUUCUCUGUUUGCUGAGGAAGAUUG